CAGCCGCCGCGGUAAUACGAAGGGUGCAAGCGUUAAUCGGAAUUACUGGGCGUAAAGCGUGCGUAGGCGGUUUGUUAAGUCUGCUGUGAAAUCCCCGGGCUCAACCUGGGAAUGGCAGUGGAUACUGGCAAGCUAGAGUGUGUCAGAGGAUGGUGGAAUUCCCGGUGUAGCGGUGUAAUGCGUAGAGAUCGGGAGGAACAUCAGUGGCGAAGGCGGCCAUCUGGGACAACACUGACGCUGAGGCACGAAAGCGUGGGGAGCAAACAGGAUUAGAUACCCCGGUAGUCCCUGUCUCUUAUAC
This 301-nucleotide ribosomal RNA is filed under the name uncultured bacterium. RNAcentral describes it as "partial 16S ribosomal RNA". It matches the Rfam family "Bacterial small subunit ribosomal RNA", at positions 509 to 807 of the family's 1533-position model. The record is from RNAcentral.